Molecule: long non-coding RNA, 569 nt
Filed under: Vigna radiata
Lineage: Eukaryota; Viridiplantae; Streptophyta; Magnoliopsida; Fabales; Fabaceae
Description: long non-coding RNA (VRAD_LNC015208)
Source: RNAcentral
AUCUGCAUAUACUUGAUGUUUAAUGUUCACCUUAUAAGUUUAAUGUUCUUUACCUCCAUCUUUUUGUUGCUUUACUUUAUAACUCUAAUAUAAUUUCUUUUAUUAAGAUAUACAAGUGUCCAUAUAUCAGAUUGUGAAUUUUUACGGUUAUGUUUUUAAUUUCUACCAUUUCAUUUAAUUUGUGAUUUGUUAGAUGUAGACAAAUAGUAUUUAUGACCAUAGUUCAUUCCAUUAUAUUAAAGAAGAGAUUUGAUUAAUGUAGGUGAGAUUUGGAAAACAUAUGAUGAUGUUUUCUUCAUUAUAAUGCAGAUUUCUAAUGAAGAUGUUAAGCAUGGAUUAAGUGUAAAAAAUUGUAAUUUUAAUUUUUUAUCUCAAUUUUUAUCCUUAAGUUGUUUUUGUGUAAAUAUAUAUUGUACUUUAAUUUGAAUUCACUUUUCUAAAUACAUAUUUGUGUAUUUAUUAUAUAUUUCAUAUAUGUAUUGGUAAUUUGAAAAACCUGUUUAUGUUUUAUCAGAUAUAUAAAUUUCUAGUUAUUGAAUGUAAAUAUGAAUUUUUUUUUUAUAAAGCUG